RNAcentral lists this long non-coding RNA (9812 nucleotides) under Cricetulus griseus (Chinese hamster). RNAcentral's name for it is "lncRNA (ENSCGRG00015039775.1)". Lineage: Eukaryota; Metazoa; Chordata; Mammalia; Rodentia; Cricetidae. The record is from RNAcentral.
UCUUGCUCUUCCUCUUCCUCCUGCUCUCUUCUCUACAGAGCCACCAUGUGAUCCUGGGAAGAGGACACCAGUGGAAGGCGUCCUGGAUAAGAUAAGUCUUAUAAAAUAUAUAGAUUUUUAAUAAUUAAGACUGAGCUAGCAUAUAAGAAAUCCUAGUCAAUUGGCCAGCAGCAUUGUAAACUAAUAUAAAACUCUGUGCGUCAUUCUGGUCUCCCAUGUGGCAGCAGGGCUCAGUCAGAUGGAGUAAAGACUUAUCAUUACAGAAUGGUACUAUAAGAAAUCCUAGUUGCUAGGCGUUGGUGGCACAUGCCUUUAAUCCCAGCACUCGGGAGGCAGAGGCAGGCGGAUUUCUGUGAGUUCGAGGCCAGCCUGGUCUCCAGAGUGAGUGCCAGGGUAGGCUCCAAAGCUACACAGAGAAACCCUGUCUCAAAAACAAAAAACAGAAAACAAAAAAUAAACAACAACAACAAAGAAAUAGUAGUCAAUUGGCCAGCAGCAUUGAAAAUAAUAUAAGACUCUGUGUGUUACUUUUGGGCGGCCACAUGGCAGCGGGGCUCGGGCGGCUGGCAGAAAGGUUUAUCGUUCCUUUCCCCUCCCUCAUGGCCUCCCUCCCUUCAUUCCCCACUUCCCCACGUUCCCCUUGUCUCUGUCGUCUUGGGGUCUUUGUUCCUCCUGCCGUCCUCUCUGGCACACUCUUGCCAUAGUUGCUCAUCUUUGAGGUAUCGAUUUAGUUACCUCUUUCUCUAGGUUGAGGAAGUGGUCCCCUGUUGGCUUCUUCUGGUGCCCAAUACGAUGAUUGAUUGUCUUCUCUGGGGGUAGAGACCUUUACUUAAUACCUAUCAUACCUUGGAGUAGAAUACUCAAAAAUAAUCAUGGAUUGAAUGAAUAAGUAUCAAUUUCCCAGGGAUACGGAGCUAAAGGAUGAGGCCUCAGGUCUUUGUGGCAUGCGGCUGAUAAGUAGCAUUGCAGGAAAGUGACAGCUGGUGUCAAAGUCAUUAAAAGGUGAGAUUAGCACAGGAAAAAGACGUAUGCUGCAUGUUUCAGACAAGACAGAAAGACAGGGUCCAGCUUCUGUAAUAGAGGGGUCUGCUGUGAGCUACCUCAUCACACGGUGUAAAGCUGUGUCACUGUGAUUGGUUUAAUAAAAAGCUAAAUGACCAACAGCUAGGCAGGAGGUAUAGGCAGGACUUCUGGACAGAGAGAGCUCUAGGAAGAAGAAAGGGGAAGUUGCCAGCCAGAUGCAGAGGAAACAGGACACGCAGGAGGGAAGGUAAAAGCAGUGAGUCACGAUAGCAGCAUGUAGAUUAGUAGAAAUGGGUUAAUUUAAGCUAUAAGAGUUAGUUAGAAACAAGCCUACGCUAAAAUUUAGCUUUCAUAAUUAAGAAGUCUCCCCGUCCUUGUUUGGGAUCUGGCUGACAGGACAGAGAAAGACUUGAUGCAUAUGGCAUCCAAUGUGGAGGCUCAAUACCUAAAUAUAUGCCUGAGAAAGCUAAGAAAAGUUCUGGACAAGGAGCCGGAUGUGGAUUCCCAGUCCUGCAGUCUCUCGGUCAGGCUACUCAGCAGCAUACAGAGAUGUGGCUCCGGGCCGCUGCCUGUGGGCGAAGCCAGCCCCCGGCACCACGCAUGAGCUUCAUCAGCUAAGCUGAGCCACACAGAGGCUGACAUCUAAGAUUUGUCUCACACAGCCAGAAAGCACUACCGGUACUUAGUAAAGUCAUGUCCAGACAUAAAAAAACCUCUAAAAAGGUGCAAUGUGUUUUGUUUUUUUCAAAAAUGUGCUUAGAUGUUAAAGAAAUAAAAAAGAAAAUGAGUAUAUAUAGUCAUAAAAAUUAAAUAGUUUGAAAAUAAUAAGGUCUUGAAAGAGAGAACGUGUGUGUGUGUGUGUGUGUGUGUGUGUGUGUGUGUGACAUAAAGAUGGGAAAUACAGUGUCUAGAUGGUAUAUGGUGCUUUCGUGACUUUGAAGUUUUGAAUGCUAAUGAACAGAGAAUGGCAACUAUUGAGAGACACUGGCUUGUGGAAGGGACUGCUGAGUUAAACCAGCCUAUACAUUUUAGGGAUGUCUUGGCUUCAGAAUGGAAGUCAGGAAAUGCAUUGCAUUAGGGGAGAGGUUGUGCUUUUGUUUCCACAGGAAAUGGAAAGCUAUGGGUUCCUUCAAAGUUAAUCAGAAUUAGAUUAGCCUGAGAGAUUGCAUUAGAAAAUCUUGGCCACAAACAUGAAAAAGGAAGAAAAGAAAAGCUACAAGACAGGUGAUGUAUAAGCUGAUCCUUUGACAUGGGAACAUCUCUGAGACGGGAUGAGACAAAAUAAAUCUUGUUGGCUGCAGAGUCCUCUUGACUUAUUAUUACAAGGCAUCCUUUCAUUGGCAUGGGUAGAGAUUUAUAUUAUAGUCCAAACAAUUUACAAAGUUAAUAAAUGCCUUUUACCUGUGCUCAAACAUCUAACAAAAUAUAAUGUUUAACUGACUGUUGCACACUGCACAUUCACGCUGUGUUAUAUAUAUAUAUGUUAUAUAUAUAUAACAUAUAUAUAUAUAUAUGUUAUCUUUAAAAGUUUGGGUAUUUCCAGGGGUAAAAAAGGAUCAUGUACCAAUAAAGACAAGUAGCCCAGGUGAUCUAGCCUCUCAGAAUGCCUCUAUUGAAGUUUCCUCAGAAUUCUGUAUCCAGAACAAUCUCAAAGCUGCUAGCUGAGACAGUCCAUCCUCACGCACUACUCCAGCCAGAACUUUGGAUAUGCCCUGCACUUUCCUAUUGACAGAGACUGGAUAUAAAGGCUACUGCUAGCUUUCCUAGGACUUGGCCAUUAUCCUAGUUUCUCAGGGUCCCCUAGAGAUGCCAUCACCCCCAGACAAGAGAAAGCAGUCUAGAGAACAUGACAUCCACAGACCCAAGAGCUGGGGUGGGUGGUUUUGGUCAUUCAAUGGGUUAUAGAUGUUUGCAAGUAUUUAGGGGGGUUGGUUACAGUUGUUACUGGUCAUGGCCAGGAAAAAGCUGAACAAAGGAGAUUAGAUUUAGGGAUCUCUCUCUGAAGGGAAAGGCGGGAUAUAGUAUAGAAAUGAGGGGAUAAAGGGUGGUUUGCUGAGUCUACUUUCAAACAACCACUAGUCUCAAAUAUUUUACAUUGUUAUGGAUUUUUGUAAAUUGAUACAAAUUUAAGGUUAUUUUGCUACACUGUCUAUAUGUUUCUAAUAUUGUUUAAGGUAUUGUGUCUAUGCAGGUCAUUAAAAAGAUAAUGUAAAGUUUUAGUUCUUAAAAGCUAUUUAAGAUAAUAAAGAAAGACGGGUUAGUAGUUAGUCAUCUAUAACAAUCAAACUUAUCGUCAUGUUAGGUAUGCUUUAAACAUCAUACAGAAAUAUGUUUUAUAUAGAUAGGUGACUUUCAAACAUUUCAAAGACCUGGCAUUUAAAAUGUUUAAUAACAUAAGGCUUUUCAUGACAGUGAGACAUGCUGCAUCUGGCAGUACCAAUUUACUUCAAAAGAGGGUGAUGGGCAUUGAAGAACAUCCUUAUGGAGUUUUCUUUCUUUGUGGCAAAAGUUAGUCAUGUGAUCAAGAAAUUGCUUUUCCUCGACUGCUGGCAGUAUGUUAUCCAAACUGGACAAGCAAGACACAAAAGAAAGUGACUGCUGAACUUUGCCAAGACAAGGCAGGACAGUCCUUCAAAAAUUCCUGCUUCACAGAAAAUUCUGUCAGAUACUCUAGGCCUGUAGGCUGAAGAUGGGUGCCCAAUGUUACAGAGGAACCUUUGGUGAAUGUGCACAUAGCCAGAUGUCCCUGCUGUUUCCCACAGUUUCGGAAGUUGCUUGCUCUGCAUUUUCUGUUUACUCAGGGCUGGAUUUGGCACUGAACAACCAAUUGGUGUGCUCUUCCCUGGAGACCAGCUCCCCACUCCCAGCUUUACCCAGGUUUGAUGGAUGCAAAUGGAAAGAAUAAAUAAGGUGGAUGGCAUCACAAGAAUAGAGUGACCAGGGGAUGCAGCUCGGUGGCAGGGCAUUUGCUUGGAAUAUGCAACCUCCCUACCUCCCAGUUCAAUCCCUGCGGAAAAACCAAGGGGCCGAAGAAAGACAAACGCCAGUGUGUGUAAGAAAACCUACCGCUGCCUCUCUUGGUUGUUUUGGAAUCCCUGGAGCCUCACAGUUCACAGAGUGUCUGCCCCCUUCAAGGUUCUCAAAUUGUCUCAGACCCCCGAUGAAGUUCCUGCUUUCCAUGGUUUUGUAUUGUAAGAGAAAAACAUCUGUCUUCUGAGCUUCUAAUGCAAGGGGCACUAACUUUUGUUUUUAUUUAUGUUUGUUCUGAGACAGGGUCUUAAUAUAUAGCCUAAGCUGGUCUUAGGUGUUGGAUCCCUCUACUUUAGCCUCCAUAGUUCGGGGAUUACAGGUGUGUGUCACCGUGUCCCCCACACAGCAGGCACUGAGGUGCCAAGGACUCUGGGAUUACAGGCGUGUGUCACCGCGUCCAGCACACAGCAGGCACUGGGGUGCCAAGGACUCUGGGAUUACAGGAGUGUGUCUCCAUGACCAGCACACAGCAGGCACUGGGGUGCCAAGGACUCUGGGAUUACAGGCGUGUGUCACCGCGCCCAGCACACAGCAGGCACUGGGAGGUGUCACUGGGAAAGUACCAUACAGCAAAGCAUAACAGCAUCAUUUCUUUCUUAAGCACAGGCCUCCCCUCUACAAAGUCAGUCAAGCCCACUUCCCCUUCCCCUUUGAUUGUGUUGACUUCACAACACAGGGAGGAUUAACCCAAGACACGGCUGGGAUGAAGGCCGCUUACUCAGCACAGCUCCCUUCCAUGCCUGGGCCCAGGCCUCUCCUGCCAGUGCUCUUUUUACUUCAGCAUUCAACACAACACCACACUUUGUGAGGGGCCACAGCACUAGUAGCAGAUGAAAUCAAUUGAACCCUGGAAAGGUGUCAACUGCUGAGACCAGCAGACAAGUGCCAAGGGAAAGGAAUACUUGAGAUUCCUAUGAAGGAACAAUGUUGGGUUUGACGUGAAUAACAGUAGAGAAACAAAGAGUACUAGACAUUACAUAAUCCAUGGAGACAGGCAGAAGAGGGGCUGGAACCCAGUAAAGCAAAUUCCAAAGGAGGCAGUUACCGUGGAAGUGGCAGAGGGGAGAGAGAGCCAUGGAUGUAUAUUGAGUUAGCACGCAAGGCAUAUGGAAUUGCAGAUAACCUAACCGCCACAGCAGCAGUGCAACACAAGGGAUAUGGCUUGUGAUCUGAAGAAGUGGAAACUGAGGCACCGAUGUUGAGUCCUUUGUCUAGAAGCAGAGCUCAGAUAUCUAUGGGGUUCUUUCUCAAGAGGGGAAUGGGCUGUGUCAUAGCUCAGCCAGAUGUUUAAGGGAACGGGGACAAAACUCAGCAAGUAAAGAGCUCACCUUGCAAAUAAGAGGACUUGAGUUGAUCCACAAAACACAUAUUUAAAAAAGAUAAAAAGCCAGCCAUGAUGGUGAGUGCUUGUAAUCCCAGCCUUGGGCAAGCAGAGACCAAUUGGAUCCCUCUGGCUUGGCAGACAGUCAGCCUAGCCAAUCAGUGACUUCCAGGCAAUGAGAGAUUUUUUUUUUCCUUUUUCAAAAAGAGGGUGAAUUCUAAGGAAUGCUAUCUGAGGUUGUCCUCUAGCCUAGACUCACAGACACAUACAGACACACAGAUGCACACUUGUACAUGCAUAUACAUAGUCACAUACACACAGAGACAGGAAGAGAGAGAACGGAGGAGAAACUAAAGAUGUGCCCAAAGGGACUGUGUUCAACACUGUGCAAAGCUGUGACGCCGCUCAACAUGGGCACAUCUCAAAAACAUCCUCAACUACCAUAAUCUAAGCCCUGGGGAUAGAGAGAUUCUGUCCCGAGACACCCCUACACACACACACACACACACACACACACACACACACACACACACUCACACGCGCACACACACACACACACACACACACACACACACACACACACACACACACACACACACGGACCCUCCAAAGCUCAAGCCUGCUCAACAAAGAAGCUGUGGCCACUUCCUUUAACGGAUAUGUUUAAGGAGAAGUUAUCUUACAAGUUUCUCCUCAGGAGAGGUGUGGAUGAGGAAAGAAGCCAGGCCAGAGACCACACAUAUAUGAAGAGGUCUAAGGAGUCAGAUGGACAGAGAAAGAAAGUAGAGGAGGGCCUGGUGUGGGAAACAGGGAGGGACCACCAGGGUGAUGGGGAUAGUCUCAACUCAAAUUUGCGGUGACAGUUGUGCAAUUUUGACAUUUUCCUAAAACUCACUAAGUCUGCACUUAAAAUAGGGAAACAAUGAAAACGUUGCAUGGAAAGAAGAGUGUUGUUUAAUGACGAAGGCGACUGGAAAGUCUGAACAGUAGAUCAUGGGGUCUGGCGAGGGAAUCCUGACUGCAUUACAUGACGGAAAGGUGAUUCUGAAAAGGAGAAGUUCCCAGCACAUGAGACAGCCUGGCUGCAUAACAACACACUUCUGAGAGAAUUGAUCCAGCACCGAAAAACCUGAUAGACCAGUAAAGUGAGCAUUAAUCUCUGUCGGGGCCGUGCCCUAACGAUCUGAUGAUCUUCUGUGCAGCACCUCUUAAAAGUCUACUUGUUUCCAUCCCGUGUGGGGGCAGACUCACAGCACAUGGACCUUUGGGGGCACGUCAUACCUUAACUUUUAGAGCUGUGUUUAAAGCCCUUAGCCCUGGAAUGUGAGGGUCUGCAGGUAAUGGCCUCAGGGCCCUGAAUCUGAGCAGAUAUGGAUCACCUUUCAUCUUCAGCCCUGAAGUAAGUUACCAUCUCCUUGAGGGGCUGUCUUUAGCCCAUGGUAGUUGUUACCCCCGCAUGUGUGUGCUCUGUGGGCUUGCUAAAAUUCCAAGUGGUCCUUGAACUGGCUUGCCAUUUGUCUGUCUCUCCAGUCAGGAGGUAACCUCACCUCCUGUGCUCAUUUUUGUUAUAAGGGUACUCCCUACUGGCACAAAAGAGGGACAGGCAAGUAGUAGUUACUAAUGCUAUUGUUCAAAUAACAAAUGAAUUCAGGAUUAUGAGCUGUUUGCUUAUUAUAAAUUCCUGGGGCUUCUUUACCUCAGAAAGGCUUCUCUAUCAGGUGUGCAGAAGAAGCCCCAGAUGCUGGUCCUGGCUGUGGAAGAAGAAGAGAGACUGAGAGAAAAUCAAGAUUAACAGGCAAGAGUAGCUAGCUUUCAAAAAAAAAGAAAAAAAGAGAGAACAGACUCAAAGCCCUUCCCCACCUGGGCUUCACAAAAUAAACUGAGCAUGCUCAAAAAGAGUUCCCAGUGUGCAAAUGUGAGACAGACAGGUUCUACGUGAACCCCCUUUUUAUUUCAGCUUUCCCUCUGCUCACUUGCACAUUCUCAGAAGUGUUUUCUCUCUCUAAAUAAACUGUCUCUAUUCCCAAUUCUAACCAGGUGUCCCUCAUCCUGUGCUUGGCCUUCAGAUACAAGGCCCUGAGAACUUGAUGACCCUGGUCUCAGAGCCACACCCCUAAUACUAACCACCCACCCUCCACCUGGCAUCCAGGCCUGGCUCUGCAACCUGACUUGGCCUGGGAGGUGGUGUUAACCCAUAGGCUACCUCAGGUGGGCUGCUGGUUAAGGCUGGGGCUCCUGGAACCAAAGAUAGAGGUAGAAGCUGCUGGAGUACAGAGACAGAGACACUAGUCCCUGUGAGCAAAGGAAGCUUCGGAGAGACCAAGAGAGGCAAAUCUGCCUGCCCCGUUGGCUGUCUACCUAGAGCAGGCAGAAGGAAGGAAACACAGCACCUGGAGCUAGCCAAGCAAGAGCAGGGCAUUCUGGGUAGAAUGCUGAGACUGAGUUACCAGGGUGGGUGUGUGCAUGCGUGUGCAUGGGUGUAUUCUUGGGAGACAAAGUGGGAUUGGAGAGGGUUUGGUCAUCCGCAGCCCUCCGCUCUACCAGCUAAAUUAUGGAAGGGAGUCCUAUCCCCUCUUAACACAAGGUGCUGGCCAGCCUAGGGCCCAGAAAAGCAGUUCCGAUUCUCUGAACACAGUGGCCCUUAAACAGUAAAAUCAAGAAGGGGAGAGGCCAGGGAAUGGGCUAAUUACACCUACCAAGCGACAAAUCACUCGGAAAACAUAAAUACGUUUUCAAGGACACUCGUCCACUAACGAUGCUAAAGUGUUUUUCUUUCAAACCCCAGCAAGAAAAUCCAAGGGAUGAAACAAACUUCGCUUAUUUUAGUUUCUACUCAAUUACCUGUUAAUGGAAAAAACCUGGCACCAGCCAUAAUGAGGCCAGCAUGAUCUCACUGGCACGGGGGCCGGGCCUGUCAGGGAGGGUUGCAACAAGCCCAGCCUUUAUCAGCCUCUCUAUAACCCUUUUCAAGCUGCUGUCACAGAGCCCACCCGGAGCAGGAGGGAAAGAAGGAACUUGGAGCCUGCUCCAGGCCUCCAAGGCCCUCUGGGAAAAGGAAAAUUGUUGUUGGCAAGUCAGCCUGGCUCCAGAAAUUGAUCCAGUGCCCCCCACUUGUCCAUGCAGCAGCAGACAGGGCUAAGAAUUUUGUUAUAAUUAAAUAACAGGGUGCUGAUUGGUUGCUGGAGGUGGUCUAGAAACUGGUGUUUAAAGAGAGAGAACAAGGGUUACUAUUCAUAGGAAAAUCCCAGCGUCUUAAAAAUCCAUCUGUUUCAUUCCCAAAUUUAGGCCAAAAAUAUGCUCACUUGCUGUCUUUAAAAAUACCACCUGCUUGGCGAUGUUGUAUAAUGUGCCGUUAUGUAAAGGGGGGAGACGUAGGCUGGACAAGAGGGUGGCUGGGCAAGGUCCCCUCCCUCAGAAAACAGACACAGCCUUGCCCAGGCCCAGCUCACCAAAGACGGAGCCCUAGCAACAGAGAGUCUUGCCAGUACCACCCGGGUGAAUGGCAGCCGUUAGCCUCCAGAUGCCUGGGUCUGGGUUAGCCUACAGAGGCCCACCUUGCCCUCCCUGUCCUUACCCCGCCUCCACUCACAGAUACCAGCUAUGGCAAUCUGAGUGUAGGUGAGGAAGCAGGCAGUGUUUAGGUUGUUUCAUUACUUAAGGAGUAGCCAAUGCUACCAUCGAACCCUGAGGAAUUCACCUGAUAGUUCCAUUCCUAGGGGAAGGGCCAUAGUCUAGGAGAAGAGUUUGUCAUGACUCAGCCCUGGCAGCCCUCCUCUCAGACCUCACUCUGCAGACCACACGGCAAACAUAUCCUGGCAUUCUCUGGCUCUCUAGAGCACACGGAAACCUGGGUCAUUCUUCUCACUCAUCAAAACCGCCAUGAGCUUUUUAGUGGGAUAGAGCAUGGGUGAUCCAAGAGAAAGUCUCUUCUUUGGGCACUGCAUGAAAACUCCCUGUCAGUUUCAUGUUAACUGUAAUUUCCUUAUCUACACUUUGGUGGAUGGACAGUGACUGGUAUCGGUUAAGGGCCAUUCACAAAUGAAGCUACCAUGGUCAUGUAUUAAUGUGAACCAUAUGCCACUUGCAUUGUCUUUCUUUGUGAACUAUUGAGUCUCAAUUUUGAGGGUUUGCUUUUGAGUUUAGUUCUGUAUUUAAAUCCUCUGUGGCGUUUCUCUAAAUAACUUUGUGAUAAAUGCCUUUAGCAACUUGAUAACACGUAUCUACAAAAACAUACAGCUGCCACCAUGGUGUGGUGAAAUAGGGGUUGUGGUUCUGUGAGUUUGGAAGAAAAAUAACAAGCCUGUUAUUCAAUGCUGUGUUGGAGAGGUACUUGCUAGAACAGAACUUAAAUCCAAACCUCAGUUUAAGUAUAAAACAGGGACAGUAAUUACAGCUACCUCAAGGAACUGUCAGAAGGCUUGACUAAGGUGUGAAACGU